Non-coding RNA from Meleagris gallopavo (turkey), 507 nucleotides. The record is from RefSeq and is a predicted model, not a curated record. Lineage: Eukaryota; Metazoa; Chordata; Aves; Galliformes; Phasianidae.
AAGGUGGAUGAAGUGUGAAUGUCUGUCUGCUACAUAAUCAAUACAAUUAAAAUCCCCAGCCACUUAUUUCCGGUGAAGUGAUUAAAAUCCACUUUGUAUGUAGUUUAUGCUGUCCAUACUGCUCCUUUGCAGCAAUAUUUCAAGUUCAAUUUUGUUGGGAAAUUGCUUGGACCAAGAGGGAACUCCUUGAAGAGGUUACAAGAAGAAACAGGUGCAAAAAUGUCUAUCCUGGGAAAAGGCUCCAUGAGGGAUAAAGCUAAGUGAGAGACAGGAAUUGGAUACGUCAGUGAGGACAGAUCUGGAUACGUCACUGUUACUGGUUCCAAGGAAAAGACACUGAGAAUGUCCAUCGGCUGGAUAAUUGCAAUUAGCAUUUCAGAGAGGAUAUUUUAGGUUGAGAACAUGGUAAAACUUAAAGAAAAUACAUUUAACUGUGGGCAUAAAUAAUGGCCUAAAUUGCUAUUCACAUACAUACGUAAUACAGAAAGGGUAUUGAGGUGCUGGAGC